UUAAAUUGAAGAGUUUGAUCAUGGCUCAGAUUGAACGCUGGCGGCAGGCCUAACACAUGCAAGUCGAACGGUAACAGGAAGCAGCUUGCUGCUUUGCUGACGAGUGGCGGACGGGUGAGUAAUGUCUGGGAAACUGCCUGAUGGAGG
This 147-nucleotide ribosomal RNA is filed under the name Escherichia coli. RNAcentral's name for it is "partial 16S ribosomal RNA". It matches the Rfam family "Bacterial small subunit ribosomal RNA", at positions 1 to 139 of the family's 1533-position model. The record is from RNAcentral. Lineage: Bacteria; Pseudomonadati; Pseudomonadota; Gammaproteobacteria; Enterobacterales; Enterobacteriaceae. RNAcentral also lists the same sequence under 6 other names.